AGGAAGAAAGGGAGAAAGGAAGAAUAAGGAAAAAAGAAAAGAGGAGGAAAAAGAAGGAAGAAAGGAGAAAACAAGAAGAUAGAAGGCAAGAGGACAAGAGAAGAGAUAGAAGCGGGGGAGGAAAGAAAGAACAAAAAACAGAAGGAAAAGGGGAGAGGAGAGAAAGAAGAACGAAAAAGAAGAAAAUCUGGUACCAGGCUGGAUGAAUAGCCCACUUCAUCACAAAUUUCAGAUCAAUUCUUGAGUUUUUGGGAGGAUUUCGUUGUUUCUGCACUUUUCCUAGACAUAUUAGAACAACUUUCUUAUAGAAAUGUUUUAGGAAAAACAUCUCUGAGCCUUCCAAAUCGAGACCCAAAGUGUCAGGUUCAUCAUUGCUGAAAUUUCUGCGACGAAGUUCUCGACUUCAUUUCUGGAAUCAGCGCGAUUUUUUGGGGGCAUUUCACCUUCAUUUUAUUUCACCAUGGUUCUAAGGUAACCAUAGUUUCUUCCCUUGUUGCUUUAACACGAUUUUUCAUGAAACUCAAGCCUGUUAGACAUGAAUCUUGAGUUAUUUUGCUGCUGGGUUUUGCUUUAUAUUUCAACUGUGCUCAUUUUUAGAUGAUUGGCUUGAUCAUGGCUCUUUGCAAUUUGAGUUUAGCUUUGGGAUUGUGAAAUAAAGUUCAUAAGAUCUCGUUUGUUUGGAUUUUUGUCUUGUGCAGUUUCUGGAUAAUGAAGAACCCAGAGUUGCAGAUAAAGAAGAAAGCUUUCUUCGAACCAUUUGCAUGUGUUUUUUCAAAAAUUACAUUUUGACCCCCAUACUUUUGACUAAUUACACUAUGGCCCAAAACUUGGAAAAAUCUAACUUAUUUCGCCCUUUUAAGUUUAAUUCCUUUUUUUUUUGCAUGUUUUAUGUGACUUUUUGAGUAGAUUAUUUCUGGGUUUUAGAGUAUAAUUAGGUCUUAAUAAUUUUUGGUUGGUUUAAUAUUUUGGUGGGGUUUUAUAAGAAGAUGAAAAUUGGGUUAUAAGUCAUGUUUGUUUGGGUUUAACAAAAUGGGUUUUGAUUACUUUUAGUUGGAUUUUGACAUCGUUUGGGAAGCCAAAGCCUUUGCUUUUUUCGGUUGGGCUGAAGUGAUAAAAGAUGGGCUGGCCUGCAUUUUUUCUUAAGGCUUUCAGUUGGGCUUGGGAGAGAAGGCCUAGGUGUUUUGGUUGGACCAACUGAUGGAUUAGCUCGUCCGUUUUCUUCGGAUUCUCUGAUGGACCGAAAUGGCUUUGGCCCAAUAAAAAAUAAUAAAACAGCCCGUUGGCCCUUUUCUUUAAGAAGGCAGGUGAUGAAAUUGCAUUCUAGUCCUUUUACUUUUAAUUAUCUUUAUUUUGGCUCUAAAAACUUUGGAUUUUUUAAUUAGGUCCCUAUUUUAAUUUCAUUUUGGCCCUAAACUUUAUUUUUAUUUAAUUUUGACCCCUAUAUUUUUUAAUAAUUAUAAUUUAACCCCAAAACUUUCUUAAUUUUUAAAUUAGAUCCCUAAUAGUUUUGAUUUCUUAAAUCCAAGUUGAUUUUCUUCUUUAAUUGUUAAUUAUACUUUAUUUAAGUGCUUUAAUUGUAGAUUUCAUGAUUAUUUCCAUUUCUUUAUAAUUAAAUUGGUACAUUGAUCAUUUUGUUGAUUUUGGAGCAUAAAUAGGGCAAAUUUCACUAAUUUAACCACAAUUUCAAGGGAGAUAACUUCUUUUAUCAUUUUAAAUUCUUUUAUGUGCUCCAAUGUGUUUUAUGUGUAAUUGCAUGCUUUGAGUGCUUUUUCUUUUAAUUACUUAUUUUAUCCAUUUUUAAAUUUUGUUUGUUUUAUUUAAUUUUGAUAAUUAUUUGUGAGGCAUUUAAAUGCCAAAUUGUAAUAGAUAGGAGUUCAAGACAUGUAUUUAGCUAGUCUAUGUAAUAGAUAGGUUUUAAUUUUUGCUAAAAAUGUAUUUAGUUAGAUAAAUAUAAUAGUUAGGGUAUUAUUUUUAAAAUUUUCCCCUUUAGA
RNAcentral lists this long non-coding RNA (1991 nucleotides) under Coffea arabica (coffee). RNAcentral's name for it is "long non-coding RNA (CARA_LNC003317)". Lineage: Eukaryota; Viridiplantae; Streptophyta; Magnoliopsida; Gentianales; Rubiaceae. The record is from RNAcentral.